ACCUGGGUCGAAUAUGGCCAGCCGAAAAAUAUGGCCACAUGCCAUUAUUUCAAAUACGAAAUAUUAUAAUAACCUGAACGCGACCAUAAAUUGUCGCUAGUGUAGCGUGUAUCCGAACGGCGUACCUGUCACUCCUCCCGCGCGCCCGCUAGUCGCCCAGUGUUUAUUAAAUGGAAACGAGUUUUAAAGUUAUAAAAACAUCAAACCAUGGCACGCUAUAAAUCUAAAGGGAUUAGAGGUAAUUGGUCAGAAGCAUCAAUGAAACAAGCA
This is a long non-coding RNA of Ostrinia furnacalis (Asian corn borer), 270 nucleotides long. RefSeq lists it as uncharacterized. NCBI's taxonomy places the organism in Eukaryota, Metazoa, Arthropoda, Insecta, Lepidoptera, Crambidae. The transcript is spliced from 2 exons. The record is from RefSeq and is a predicted model, not a curated record.